CUGAGUACGGCGGAACACGUGAAAUUCCGUCGGAAUCCGGGAGGACCAUCUCCCAAGGCUAAAUACUCCCUAGUGACCGAUAGUGAACCAGUACCGUGAGGGAAAGGUGAAAAGCACCCCGGAAGGGGAGUGAAACAGUUCCUGAAACCGUGUGCCUACAAGUAGUUAGAGCCCGUUAAUGGGUGAUAGCGUGCCUUUUGUAGAAUGAACCGGCGAGUUACGAUUUGUUGCAAGGUUAAGCGGAAAAAGCGGAGCCGUAGCGAAAGCGAGUCUGAAUAGGGCGCAUAAGUAACAGGUCGUAGACCCGAAACCAGGUGAUCUACCCAUGUCCAGGAUGAAGGUAAGGUAAUACUUACUGGAGGUCCGAACCCACGCACGUUGAAAAGUGCGGGGAUGAGGUGUGGGUAGCGGAGAAAUUCCAAUCGAACUUGGAGAUAGCUGGUUCUCUCCGAAAUAGCUUUAGGGCUAGCCUCGAGGUAAAGAGUCAUGGAGGUAGAGC
This 499-nucleotide ribosomal RNA is filed under the name Listeria monocytogenes. RNAcentral's name for it is "partial 23S ribosomal RNA". It matches the Rfam family "Bacterial large subunit ribosomal RNA", at positions 408 to 908 of the family's 2925-position model. The record is from RNAcentral. Lineage: Bacteria; Bacillati; Bacillota; Bacilli; Caryophanales; Listeriaceae.